UGCUCCUUGCUGCAACCACAG
RNAcentral lists this unclassified non-coding RNA (21 nucleotides) under Mus musculus (house mouse). RNAcentral describes it as "oocyte_clustered_small_RNA5537". The record is from RNAcentral. Lineage: Eukaryota; Metazoa; Chordata; Mammalia; Rodentia; Muridae.